CGGCGUGCCUAAUACAUGCAAGUCGAACGCAUUGUGGUUGAAAUGAUAUGAAGAACUUGUUCAGGUUUGAUUUUCAACAUUGCAAUGAGUGGCGAACGGGUGAGUAACACGUGGGAAACCUACCUCUUAGCAAGGGGAUAACAUUUAGGAAACAAAUGCUAAUACCGUAUAAUAAUUAAAACCGCAUGGGUUUUAGUUUAAAAGAUGGUCUUGCUAUCACUAAGAGAUGGUCCCGCGGUGUAUUAGUUAGUUGGUGAGGUAAUGGCUCACCAAGACAAUGAUACAUAGCCGAGUUGAGAGACUGACCGGCUACAAUGGGACUGAGACACGGCCCAUACUCCUACGGGAGGCAGCAGUAGGGAAUCUUCCACAAUGGACGAAAGUCUGAUGGAGCAACGCCGCGUGUGUGAUGAAGGGUUUCGGCUCGUAAAACACUGUUGUAAGAGAAGAAUGACAUUGAGAGUAACUGUUCAAUGUGUGACGGUAUCUUACCAGAAAGGAACGGCUAAAUACGUG
RNAcentral lists this ribosomal RNA (516 nucleotides) under uncultured bacterium. Its description in RNAcentral is "bacterial SSU rRNA". It matches the Rfam family "Bacterial small subunit ribosomal RNA", at positions 40 to 507 of the family's 1533-position model. The record is from RNAcentral.